UGUAGGCAGAUACAGAUUCUGAGGUGGUC
RNAcentral lists this non-coding RNA (29 nucleotides) under Homo sapiens (human). Lineage: Eukaryota; Metazoa; Chordata; Mammalia; Primates; Hominidae. The record is from RNAcentral.